This 313-nucleotide long non-coding RNA is filed under the name Zea mays. Its description in RNAcentral is "long non-coding RNA NONZMAT000077". Lineage: Eukaryota; Viridiplantae; Streptophyta; Magnoliopsida; Poales; Poaceae. The record is from RNAcentral.
UAAAUAUGGCGCCGGAAUUCGCUUGCGUGCUCCGACUAAAUGCGGCAAUCACCGGAUGAAUCAAUGGAAUCGAAGAACAUCUGUACUCUGGGUAUAAGAGGAACCAACGCUGGAAUCGGCACUGGGGAUAAAUAACGGCAAACAGGAGCACCGGCGAAGUGUGAUUGGCGAGCGGCAAUCAAGCGGCAAACAGGAGCACCGGUGAUGUGCUUGAGACGGGGAAGGAAAUCCUUGGGCUGCAAGCCUGCAACAAUGCAAUAGGCGAAGAAAACCCACAAAAUGUCGAAGUUGCUAGUGGACUCUAUCGCAAAAA